Molecule: ribosomal RNA, 332 nt
Filed under: uncultured Variovorax sp.
Lineage: Bacteria; Pseudomonadati; Pseudomonadota; Betaproteobacteria; Burkholderiales; Comamonadaceae
Description: bacterial SSU rRNA
Rfam family: Bacterial small subunit ribosomal RNA
Source: RNAcentral
UGGCUCAGAACGAACGCUGGCGGCAUGCCUUACACAUGCAAGUCGAACGGCAGCGCGGGAGCAAUCCUGGCGGCGAGUGGCGAACGGGUGAGUAAUACAUCGGAACGUGCCCAAUCGUGGGGGAUAACGCAGCGAAAGCUGUGCUAAUACCGCAUACGAUCUACGGAUGAAAGCAGGGGACCGCAAGGCCUUGCGCGAAUGGAGCGGCCGAUGGCAGAUUAGGUAGUUGGUGAGGUAAAGGCUCACCAAGCCGACGAUCUGUAGCUGGUCUGAGAGGACGACCAGCCACACUGGGACUGAGACACGGACCAGACUCCUACGUGUCGCAGCAG